GCGCUCCCAUAGGUUGUCGGACUGACCGUGAUGGUAUGAGGAAGCCGGUGUGAACCCGGCACGGCCGCGCCACUGUGACGGUCCCGGGUCAGCCCGGGGCCGGAGUCAGACCCUCCACCGUCGACACCCUCGA
Molecule: non-coding RNA, 133 nt
Filed under: Actinokineospora bangkokensis
Lineage: Bacteria; Bacillati; Actinomycetota; Actinomycetes; Pseudonocardiales; Pseudonocardiaceae
Source: RNAcentral